Molecule: long non-coding RNA, 949 nt
Filed under: Olea europaea subsp. europaea
Lineage: Eukaryota; Viridiplantae; Streptophyta; Magnoliopsida; Lamiales; Oleaceae
Source: RNAcentral
CACAUUUCUUGGUCACAAUUUAUCUUUUUCAUUGGUCAUGUAUUGUUUAUUGGUCACAGAUUAACCAAAUUAAUAGUCACAUGACACCAACACUUACGACCACCACCGCCUCCAGUAGUACCACCAUCACUAUCGCCGCCAGAACCACUACCACCACCUUCCAAAAGCGACAACCAACCAGCAAAAUAGUACGAGCUAUACUGCUAUUAUUGCAAGAACAAUGGACGCGAGAUAAGCCGAUUUCAACCCUGGUAACAAAUGACCAUAUCCCGAUUUGUCGCAGUAGCGACUACCACCAUCACCAUCACUCACAUCCACCACCACCACCACCACAGAAAUUAGGGAUUAAACGACCACCACCACCACCACCACCAUCACCUCACCACCACAGCCACCAAACAAAACCAAAUUCAAAGAAUUGAAUACCAGAUUUGUAGGUUGUCUUCGAUUUACUGGUGCUCGAAAAUGACUAGAACUACCUAUCGGUGGAGAGAAUGGAUACUAGAUCUACAGGGAGUUUUCAAUUUUUCGGUGGCAAAAAACGAUUAGAACUACCUGUCGAUGGAGAGAGAAUGGGUGCUAGAUCUGUGGGUUGUUUUCGAUUCAAUGGUGCCUGAACCUGCCACCACCACUAUUUGAUGGUGCCCGAACCUAAUGCAGAUCGAAGGAACGGUGUUGAGGCGUUGCUGUAAAUGGAAACGUUGUGCCCUGCUGCAGAGGUCAGGAGUGCUUAACUGGCGGUAACGGACAGUGUUGGUAGCCUCCGAUUGUGUGUGCUAAAGGUAUAGAAGAGUGAAUGAUGAGGAUAUAAAGAGAGAACAGAACGAAGUAUGCGUUGUACUGUCUAACGGUGGUGGUGCAAGGCUGAGCCACUGGUAGAGAGGGAGGAGAGUGUGUGGUGAGGAAUAUGAGAAUGGACAGAAGAAGAAAAUGAAUUAGGGUUUGGAAU